Molecule: ribosomal RNA, 253 nt
Filed under: uncultured bacterium
Lineage: Bacteria
Description: partial 16S ribosomal RNA
Rfam family: Bacterial small subunit ribosomal RNA
Source: RNAcentral
UACGUAGGCAGCAAGCGUUGUUCGGAGUUACUGGGCGUAAAGGGUGUGUAGGCGGUCUUCUAAGUUUGGUGUGAAAUCUCCCGGCUCAACUGGGAGGGUGCGCCGAAAACUGGAAGGCUAGAGUACUGGAUGGGAGAGUGGAAUUCCUGGUGUAGCGGUGAAAUGCGUAGAUAUCAGGAGGAACACCUGUGGUGUAGACGGCUCUCUGGACAGUAACUGACGCUGAGACACGAAAGCUAGGGGAGCAAACGGG